UUAUGGGUGGCGAGUGGCGGACGGGUGAGGAAUACAUCGGAAUCUACUCUUUCGUGGGGGAUAACGUAGGGAAACUUACGCUAAUACCGCAUACGACCUACGGGUGAAAGCGGAGGACCUUCGGGCUUCGCGCGAUUGAAUGAGCCGAUGUCGGAUUAGCUAGUUGGCGGGGUAAAGGCCCACCAAGGCGACGAUCCGUAGCUGGUCUGAGAGGAUGAUCAGCCACACUGGAACUGAGACACGGUCCAGACUCCUACGGGAGGCAGCAGUGGGGAAUAUUGGACAAUGGGCGCAAGCCUGAUCCAGCCAUGCCGCGUGGGUGAAGAAGGCCUUCGGGUUGUAAAGCCCUUUUGUUGGGAAAGAAAAGCAGUCGGUUAAUACCCGAUUGUUCUGACGGUACCCAAAGAAUAAGCACCGGCUAACUUCGUGCCAGCAGCCGCGGUAAUACGAAGGGUGCAAGCGUUACUCGGAAUUACUGGGCGUAAAGCGUGCGUAGGUGGUGGUUUAAGUCUGUUGUGAAAGCCCUGGGCUCAACCUGGGAAUUGCAGUGGAUACUGGGUCACUAGAGUGUGGUAGAGGGUAGCGGAAUUCCCGGUGUAGCAGUGAAAUGCGUAGAGAUCGGGAGGAACAUCCGUGGCGAAGGCGGCUACCUGGACCAACACUGACACUG
RNAcentral lists this ribosomal RNA (670 nucleotides) under Xanthomonas sp. EECC-446. RNAcentral describes it as "bacterial SSU rRNA". It matches the Rfam family "Bacterial small subunit ribosomal RNA", at positions 82 to 748 of the family's 1533-position model. Lineage: Bacteria; Pseudomonadati; Pseudomonadota; Gammaproteobacteria; Lysobacterales; Lysobacteraceae. The record is from RNAcentral.